Molecule: ribosomal RNA, 467 nt
Filed under: uncultured bacterium
Lineage: Bacteria
Description: partial 16S ribosomal RNA
Rfam family: Bacterial small subunit ribosomal RNA
Source: RNAcentral
GACGAACGCUGGCGGCGUGCUUAACACAUGCAAGUCGAACGGAAAGGCUCCAGCUUGCUGGAGUGCUCGAGUGGCGAACGGGUGAGUAACACGUGGGCAAUCUGCCCUGCACUCUGGGAUAAGCCUGGGAAACUGGGUCUAAUACCGGAUAGGACCUUUCUCCUCAUGGGGUUUGGUGGAAAGUUUUUCGGUGCAGGAUGAGCCCGCGGCCUAUCAGCCUGUUGGUGGGGUAAUGGCCUACCAAGGCGACGACGGGUAGCCGGCCUGAGAGGGUGAUCGGCCACAUUGGGACUGAGAUACGGCCCAGACUCCUACGGGAGGCAGCAGUGGGGAAUAUUGCACAAUGGGCGAAAGCCUGACGCAGCGACGCCGCGUGAGGGAUGACGGCCUUCGGGUUGUAAACCUCUUUCAGUAGGGACGAAGCGCAAGUGACGGUACCUGCAGAAGAAGCACCGGCUAACUACGUG